RNAcentral lists this ribosomal RNA (460 nucleotides) under uncultured bacterium. RNAcentral describes it as "partial 16S ribosomal RNA". It matches the Rfam family "Bacterial small subunit ribosomal RNA", at positions 338 to 795 of the family's 1533-position model. The record is from RNAcentral.
CCUACGGGAGGCAGCAGUGAGGAAUAUUGGUCAAUGGACGAGAGUCUGAACCAGCCAAGUAGCGUGAAGGAUGACUGCCCUAUGGGUUGUAAACUUCUUUUAUAUGGGAAUAAAACGUUCCACGUGUGGGAUUUUGUAUGUACCAUAUGAAUAAGGAUCGGCUAAAUCCGUGCCAGCAGCCGCGGUAAUACGGAGGAUCCGAGCGUUAUCCGGAUUUAUUGGGUUUAAAGGGAGCGUAGGUGGAUUGUUAAGUCAGUUGUGAAAGUUUGCGGCUCAACCGUAAAAUUGCAGUUGAAUCUGGCAGUCUUGAGUACAGUAGAGGUGGGCGGAAUUCGUGGUGUAGCGGUGAAAUGCUUAGAUAUCACGAAGAACUCCGAUUGCGGAGGCAGUUCACUGGACUGCAACUGACACUGAGGCUCGAAAGUGUGGGUAUCAAACAGGAUUAGAUACCCCUGUAGUC